AUUGAACGCUGGCGGCAUGCUUUACACAUGCAAGUCGAACGGCAGCACGGGGGCAACCCUGGUGGCGAGUGGCGAACGGGUGAGUAACACAUCGGAACGUGCCCAGUUGUGGGGGAUAACCUAUCGAAAGGUAGGCUAAUACCGCAUGAGCUCGGCGAGAGGAAAGCGGGGGACCCAGCGAUGGGCCUCGCGCGACUGGAGCGGCCGAUGUCCGAUUAGCUAGNGGUGGGGUAAAGGCUUACCAAGGCGACGAUCGGUAGCUGGUCUGAGAGGACGAUCAGCCACACUGGGACUGAGACACGGCCCAGACUCCUACGGGAGGCAGCAGUGAGGAAUAUCGCGCAAUGGGCGAAAGCCUGACGCAGCGACGCCGCGUGGGGGAUGAAGGUCUUCGGAUUGUAAACCCCUUUCGGGAGGGAGAUGGAACGAGCAAUCGUUCGGACGGUACCUCCAGAAGCAGCCACGGCUAACUUCGUGCCAGCCGCCG
Molecule: ribosomal RNA, 487 nt
Filed under: uncultured bacterium
Lineage: Bacteria
Description: bacterial SSU rRNA
Rfam family: Bacterial small subunit ribosomal RNA
Source: RNAcentral